RNAcentral lists this long non-coding RNA (367 nucleotides) under Sinocyclocheilus anshuiensis. RNAcentral's name for it is "lncRNA (ENSSANG00000041371.1)". The record is from RNAcentral. Lineage: Eukaryota; Metazoa; Chordata; Actinopteri; Cypriniformes; Cyprinidae.
UGCGUGCAUCUAUUAAUCAUUUUGAGUCUAAUAUCAUCCCAUACACUUGAGCCGACUUGUUUUUAUGAAUAGGUUAUUUGGAGCAAAAUGUUUGAAAGGACCGAUUCGCGGAAAUGAUUCGAACGAGUGACAGCCGUCUUCUACUUCAUGGCGGCUGGCUGACUGACUGACGGCGCCUUAUAGUCAGCAGUAGUUACAAAAAAAAUAACAAAUGACCUGCACCGUAGCUGCUGCUGUUUGCACAGAUCUUUGUUCCAGGCUCAUCAGAUGAAACACAGAUAACCACAUGCUAUUCAGCAUCAAUGGAACAGGCAGCAGCUGCCUUUGCAUCGCAGGACAUGGUAUGAUGGACAGGUAUUAAGAGGGA